Molecule: unclassified non-coding RNA, 243 nt
Filed under: uncultured Helotiales
Lineage: Eukaryota; Fungi; Ascomycota; Leotiomycetes; Helotiales
Description: sequence contains ITS2
Rfam family: 5.8S ribosomal RNA (bases 1-52)
Source: RNAcentral
AACGCACAUUGCGCCCUUUGGUAUUCCGAAGGGCAUGCCUGUUCGAGCGUCAUUAUAACCACUCAAGCCUUCGCUUGGUAUUGGGGUUCGCGGUUUCGCGGCCCCUAAAAUCAGUGGCGGUGCCUGUCGGCUCUACGCGUAGUAAUACUCCUCGCGUUUGGGUUCCGGUAGGUUGCUUGCCAGCAACCCCUAAAUUUUUUACAGGUUGACCUCGGAUCAGGUAGGGAUACCCGCUGAACUUAA